This is a non-coding RNA of Vicia faba (fava bean), 228 nucleotides long. The record is from the annotation of a GenBank genome assembly. NCBI's taxonomy places the organism in Eukaryota, Viridiplantae, Streptophyta, Magnoliopsida, Fabales, Fabaceae.
AUGUGGCAUAGGCGUCACCAACAUGUCUUACAAUUCCCUGUUUCCUUCAACCAGAAUAAUAUACGACACAAUAAUCAAUAUUUUAAUUGGUACAAAUCGGUUAGUAACCCAGAAAUGCAUGUGUCUCAUCUGAGAUAUUUGGUUGACCCACAAACACAAUGGACACAAACCUCAAAUCCCAAACAACAAACCCAACACUCAUCAACCUCCCACGAACCACCUCGAUGA